RNAcentral lists this unclassified non-coding RNA (344 nucleotides) under soil metagenome. RNAcentral describes it as "partial contains 5.8S ribosomal RNA, internal transcribed spacer 2, and large subunit ribosomal RNA". The stretch from base 1 to 120 matches the Rfam family "5.8S ribosomal RNA", at positions 35 to 154 of the family's 154-position model. The record is from RNAcentral.
GAUGAAGAACGCAGCGAAAUGCGAUAAGUAGUGUGAAUUGCAGAAUUCAGUGAAUCAUCGAAUCUUUGAACGCACAUUGCGCCCGCCAGUAUUCUGGCGGGCAUGCCUGUUCGAGCGUCAUUUCCACCAUCAGGCCCCCGGGCCUGUGUUGGGGACCUGCGGCUGCCCGCAGGCCCCGAAAUUCAGUGGCGGUCGCGCCGUAGCAACCGAGCGUAGUAACUAAAACGUCUCGCUCUGGCUCGCUGGGCGCGCUCCGGCCGUAAAACACCCCCCCUUUUCGCAAAGGUUGACCUCGGAUCAGGUAGGAAUACCCGCUGAACUUAAGCAUAUCAAUAAGCGGAGGA